CCUACGGGAGGCAGCAGUGAGGAAUAUUGGUCAAUGGUCGGGAGACUGAACCAGCCAAGCCGCGUGAGGGAUGAAGGUACAGAGUAUCGUAAACCUCUUUUGUCAGGGAACAAAGGCGGGGACGCGUCCCCGGAUGAGUGUACCUGAAGAAAAAGCAUCGGCUAACUCCGUGCCAGCAGCCGCGGUAAUACGGAGGAUGCGAGCGUUAUCCGGAUUUAGUGGGUUUAAAGGGUGCGCAGGCGGUCUGUUAAGUCAGCGGUCAAAGCCCGGGGCACAACCCCGGCCCGCCGUUGAAACUGGCAGUCUCGAGUUGGAGAGAAGUAUGCGGAAUUCGUGGUGUAGCGGUGAAAGGCAUAGAUAUCACGAGGAACCCCGAUUGCGAAGGCAGCCUGCCGGGGUGCGACUGACGCUGAGGCUCGAAGGUGCGGGUAUCAAACAGGAUUAGAUACCCGAGUAGUC
RNAcentral lists this ribosomal RNA (459 nucleotides) under uncultured bacterium. RNAcentral describes it as "partial 16S ribosomal RNA". It matches the Rfam family "Bacterial small subunit ribosomal RNA", at positions 338 to 795 of the family's 1533-position model. The record is from RNAcentral.